GGGGGAUUUUCCGCAAUGGGCGAAAGCCUGACGGAGCAAGACCGCGUGGGGGAGGAAGGUUCUUGGAUUGUAAACCCCUUUUCUCAGGGAAGAACACAAUGACGGUACCUGAGGAAUCAGCAUCGGCUAACUCCGUGCCAGCAGCCGCGGUAAUACGGAGGAUGCAAGCGUUAUCCGGAAUAAUUGGGCGUAAAGCGUCCGUAGGUGGCUGUUCAAGUCUGCCGUUAAAGACCGGGGCUUAACCCUGGAAAGGCGGUGGAAACUGAACGGCUAGAGUGCAGUAGGGGUAGAGGGAAUUCCCAGUGUAGCGGUGAAAUGCGUAGAGAUUGGGAAGAACACCGGUGGCGAAAGCGCUCUGCUGGACUGCAACUGACACUGAGGGACGAAAGCUAGGGGAGCGAAUGGGAUUAGAUACCCCAGUAGUCCUAGCCGUAAACGAUGGAUACUAGGUGUGGCCUGUAUCGACCCGGGCCGCGCCGUAGCUAACGCGUUAAGUAUCCCGCCUGGGGAGUACGCACGCAAGUGUGAAACUCAAAGGAAUUGACGGGGGCCCGCACAAGCGGUGGAGUAUGUGGUUUAAUUCGAUGCAACGCGAAGAACCUUACCAGGACUUGACAUGUCCGGAACCUACUGGAAACAGAAGGGUGCCUUCGGGAACCGGAACACAGGUGGUGCAUGGCUGUCGUCAGCUCGUGUCGUGAGAUGUUGGGUUAAGUCCCGCAACGAGCGCAACCCUCGUCCUUAGUUGCCAUCAUUAAGUUGGGCACUUUAGGGAGACUGCCGGUGACAAACCGGAGGAAGGUGGGGAUGACGUCAAGUCAGCAUGCCCCUUACGUCCUGGGCUACACACGUACUACAAUGCUACGGACAAAGGGCAGCAAGUUAGCAAUGACAAGCAAAUCCCAUAAACCGUGGCUCAGUUCAGAUCGCAGGCUGCAACUCGCCUGCGUGAAGGCGGAAUCGCUAGUAAUCGCCGGUCAGCAUACGGCGGUGAAUCCGUUCCCGGGCCUUGUACACACCGCCCGUCACACCAUGGGAGUUGGCCACGCCCGAAGUCGUUACCCUAACCUGCAAAGGAGGGGGACGCCGAAGGCAGGGCUGAUGACUGGGGUGAAGUCGUAACAAGGUAGCCGUACCGGAAGGUGUGGCUGGAUCACCUCCU
RNAcentral lists this ribosomal RNA (1162 nucleotides) under Oscillatoriales cyanobacterium WJT32-NPBGB. Its description in RNAcentral is "bacterial SSU rRNA". It matches the Rfam family "Bacterial small subunit ribosomal RNA", at positions 356 to 1531 of the family's 1533-position model. Lineage: Bacteria; Bacillati; Cyanobacteriota; Cyanophyceae; Oscillatoriales. The record is from RNAcentral.